GUCCAUGCCGUAAACGAUGAGGACUCGCUAUUGGAUCUAUAGGAUUCAGUGGCUUAGGGAAACCGUUAAGUCCUCCACCUGGGGAGUACGCCGGCAACGGUGAAACUCAAAGGAAUUGACGGGGUCCGCACAAGCGGUGGAGCAUGUGGUUUAAUUCGAUGAUACGCGAGGAACCUUACCUGGGCUAAAUCACAUUUGAAUUAUUCAGAGAUGGAUAAGCUAGCAAUAGCAGAUGUGAAGGUGCUGCAUGGCUGUCGU
RNAcentral lists this ribosomal RNA (258 nucleotides) under uncultured bacterium. Its description in RNAcentral is "partial 16S ribosomal RNA". It matches the Rfam family "Bacterial small subunit ribosomal RNA", at positions 793 to 1055 of the family's 1533-position model. The record is from RNAcentral.